Gouania willdenowi (blunt-snouted clingfish) is the source of this 2918-nucleotide long non-coding RNA. Ensembl annotates it as mucin-22-like. NCBI's taxonomy places the organism in Eukaryota, Metazoa, Chordata, Actinopteri, Blenniiformes, Gobiesocidae. The record is from Ensembl.
AGCACAAUAGCUCAGGGUGUUGCGAGGCUAAUCAUCAGGCAGUAAAAGGAUAACCACUGAUUUUCAUCACUGCUGGAGCUGACCUGACUACAAUGGAUACUGGACAAAUCCUAUCAAUACUGCUGAUACUAUCAGUGGCUAUGGACUUUGUUCCUACUUCAACUUCUGCAGAAACGAUUACAACUGUAGAUCCAACUAGUGUUUGGUCAACAACAGAUCCACAAUCAACAACAAUGGGAGAGUUAACAACUGCAGAAUCAUCAGCCACUCCUGAAUCAACAACAAUGGAAGAAACAACAAAUACAGGGUCAACAGAAGCUCCUGAAUCAACAACUGUAGGGUCAACAGCACCUCCACAAUCGACAACAAUGGGAGAGUCAACAACUGCAGAAUCAACAGCAGCUCCACAAUCAACAACAAUGGGAGAGUCAACAACUACAGAAUCAACAGCUGCUCCUGAAUCAACAACAAUGAGAGAGUCAACAACUACAGAAUCAACAGCUGCUCCACAAUCAACAACAAUGGGAGAGUCAACAACUACAGAAUCAACAGCUGCUCCACAAUCAACAACAAUGGAAGAAACAACAAAUACAGGGUCAACAGAAGCUCCUGAAUCAACAACUGUAGGGUCAACAGCAGCUCCACAAUCGACAACAAUGGGAGAGUCAACAACUACAGAAUCAACAGCUGCUCCACAAUCAACAACAAUGGGAGAAACAACAAAUGCAGGGUCAACAGCAGCUCCCGAAUCAACAACUGUAGGGUCAACAGCACCUCCACAAUCAACAACAAUGGGAGAGUCCACAAUUGCAGGAUCAACAGCCGCUCCACAAUCAACAACAAGGGGAGAAACAACAACUGCAGGGUCAACAGCAGCUCCUGAAUUAACAACAGUAUCUCCUGGGUCAACCAGAAUGCCAAUGACAACUGAGGGAUUGACCACAAAUGGGACAAUAACAGCAAUUGUAACCACAACUGGGGUACCAAUGACAUCAGGUAGAACAACCACAAGUGAUAUUACAAGUGCAACCACAAAUGAGAUUUCAAUAGCAACUCAAGCAAUGAACUCUACUCUUCACCCAACCACAACCAUGCUAACAACAAGUACCACUGAAGCGCCACCACCAACGGUGGUUUUUACAUUUGUCAUUGUGGUUGUGUUUACACCUGAGCUAAACAAUCGCGACAGUGAGGCAUUUCGGGAGCUCGAGACACAGCUGGUAUCAGCGUGUAUUGUCAUCUACAAUGGGUUUACGUCUUUCACCGGCUGUUUUGUCAGAGGGUUCAGACCUGCAGCCAGUUCCAGGGAGCGAAGUCGGAGAGCCACGGGAAAUACAGAGGCAGAUAUAGGAGUUCAGUUCAAUUCAACUGCACCAGCAUCAGAAAUUCCAGAGGCCAAUGCUGUUGUAAAUUCUUUGAAAGAGGCUGUUGCCAGUCCCAACAACACUUUCAACGUUACAUUUGUACCUAAUUCUGUCCGACUAGUUGAAACAAAUGCUACAACUCCAGCCCCUAAUGUUACAACCGCAGCCCCCAACGCUACAUCUGUUGCUCCAAAUGCUACCACCUCAGCCUCCAAUGCUACAACAGCAGCAACCAAUGCAACAACUGCUGCUUCUAGUGCUGCAACGGCAGCAGCCAACGCAACAACUGCUGCUUCUAGUGCUGCAACGGCAGCAGCCAACGCAACAACUGCUGCAACGGCAGCAGCCAACGCAACAACUGCUGCUUCUAGUGCUGCAACGGCAGCAGCCAACGCAACAAUUGCUGCUUCUAGUGCUGCAACGGCAGCGCCCAAUGCAACAAUUGCUGCUACUAACGCAACCACCGCUGCUCCCAUUGCUCCCACUCAGGCUGUGACCACACCCACAACAACUGCUGUAGCAUCAGUAGAAACGGCGCUAACUUUCACAUCCCCUGGAGAGACAUUCACCUCAGAUUUGUUGAUUUCUGGAUCUCAAGCAUUUAUAGAUCGAUCAGCGAAUAUGAUAAGAGUUCUUAACCGUAUAUACAGCCCAGCAUUCUCUACAUUUGUCAAUUCAUCUGUGCGGGGAUACAGACAAGGAUCGAUCAUUAAUGAUGUGAGCCUUCGGUUUGCAGCCUCCUCAGUCCCUAAUGGCACACAGAUUGCAAACACUUUAAUUUCUGCAGCUCCCAGCAUCACAGAAUUCACCAUUGACACAAGCUCUAUUACUGUGAACGGCACCGCGUCAAGCGGAGUCACUCACAAGAUCAGUCUCAUCACUGCAUCCUGCACGGUGCUGCUGUCAAUGCUACUGUCAAGGCUACACUAGCAUGUGUGCUAACAUUCAUGUAAACUCUCCAAAGGGAACGCAUGCCAUCACUGGUUUGAAAAAGGACUUUAUUGGCCAAACGGGGGUGUGAUGUGUCUCUGAUUUCUUUUUUUUUUUUUGUUGAUGUACUGAGAAGUUGGUUUGUCAGGAUAUCUCACAAAAGCCUAUGUAAUCAAUAUUAGCAGCAUCUGAUUAGCCUUUAAGGAAACCUUGCAUUCUAGAUGUACUUAAGAACUAUAAUUUUGUAGGUAUUUAAACGCCUCAGCUUGUCAUUGGUGUCAGUGGCCCCUCUGGUUGACAAGUUACUGGAAGUUGCAAGGAAAGUUAUUUGCCUUUUUGUGAAAAGAUAUGAGUUGAAUGUCUUUCAGUUGGUCAUGUGUGUGGGUUUAGAUUUGCACGUACAAAGGAGGUACUACUGUUACUGCUGCUUAUUUAUUUGUUUUUCUUUUAGCAGGAUUAUGUCAAAAGUUUGAAAGUAUUCUAACCAAUGAUAGACCUAUAGAGCCAUGGAAGAACGAUUAAAUUUUGGAGGGGAAUAUACAGAUUUUGGUUCAGCUUGAAAAAAUGAAAACACCCUUUAUCUUAUAAUUAGAUAUUUAAAAAUAAAUAAAUCACGUCAUGACA